This 278-nucleotide ribosomal RNA is filed under the name uncultured Eubacteriales bacterium. RNAcentral's name for it is "uncultured Clostridiales bacterium partial 16S ribosomal RNA". It matches the Rfam family "Bacterial small subunit ribosomal RNA", at positions 504 to 784 of the family's 1533-position model. The record is from RNAcentral. Lineage: Bacteria; Bacillati; Bacillota; Clostridia; Eubacteriales.
UGUGCCAGCAGCCGCGGUAAUACGUAAGGUCCGAGCGUUGUCCGGAAUCAUUGGGCGUAAAGGGUACGUAGGCGGGUAAGCAAGUUAGAAGUGAAAUCCUAUAGCUCAACUAUAGUAAGCUUUUAAAACUGUUUAUCUUGAGGUAUGGAAGGGAAAGUGGAAUUCCUAGUGUAGCGGUGAAAUGCGCAGAUAUUAGGAGGAUACCGGUGGCGAAGGCGACUUUCUGGCCAUAACCUGACGCUGAGGUACGAAAGCGUGGGUACAAACAGGAUUAGAUA